Molecule: ribosomal RNA, 253 nt
Filed under: uncultured bacterium
Lineage: Bacteria
Description: partial 16S ribosomal RNA
Rfam family: Bacterial small subunit ribosomal RNA
Source: RNAcentral
CACGGGGGGAGCAAGCGUUGUUCGGAAUCACUGGGCGUAAAGGGCGUGUAGGCGGUCAGGUAAGUGAGAUGUGAAAUGCCCCGGCUCACCCGGGGACCGGCAUCUCAUACUGCUUGGCUUGAGUACGGGAGAGGAUGUGGGAAUUCCUGGUGUAGCGGUGAAAUGCGUAGAUAUCAGGAGGAACACCCGAGGCGAAGGCGGCUCUCUGGGUCGGACCUGACGCUGAGGCGCGAAAGCGUGGGGAGCGAACGGG